AUGAGAUGCCUAAGUUGGAACUGCCGGGGGCUUGGGAACACCGAGGCAGUCCGAGAGCUUCACAAUUUUGUGAAGCAAGAAGGACCCGCGCUGCUCUUUGUUAUGGAGACGAAGAUCAGGGCAAAGAGGGUGGAAAGUUUGCAGUCUAAUCUAGGGUUUGCGGGGUGUUUUGCGGUGGAUAGUUCAAGACUAAGUGGUGGUAUAGGCCUGUUUUGGUCACAAGAGGUUAAUGUUGAGCUGAAAAAUUUCAGUCCCAGCCAUAUUGAUGUCAUGGUUAGGGAAGUUGACUUGAUUGCUCGGGAGUGGAGAUUGACAGGGUUCUACGGUGCACCAAGAAAUGAAGAUAGGCACCAUAGCUGGAGAUGUCUAAGGGCAUUGCAUGCGAUCCCACAUCAAGCUUGGUUGUGCCUAGGAGAUUUUAAUGAGACCUUGUACAGUACAGAACAUUUCAGUAGGGCUGCAAGACCGGAAUGGCAGAUACGUGCGUUUCGGGAAACCGUGGAGGACUGCUCUUUGCAAGAUCUUGGUUACACAGGGUUACCCUAUACUUGGGAUAACAGGCAGGCGGGCAACAUGAAUGUUAAAGCCCGUCUUGACAGAGGUUUGGCGAACGAAACGUUCUUACAAAUGUUUGACCAUGUGCACGUUCGUCACAUUAGCAUGGUGGAAUCAUACCACUGUUUUGUUGGGGAGCGUAGUAAUUUCAAAAAAAUUCUACGCACACGCAAGAUCAUGGUGAUGCAUAGCAACGAGAGGGGAGAGUGUUGUCUACGUACCCUCGUAGACUGA
Molecule: ribosomal RNA, 789 nt
Filed under: Triticum aestivum (bread wheat)
Lineage: Eukaryota; Viridiplantae; Streptophyta; Magnoliopsida; Poales; Poaceae
Description: partial small subunit ribosomal RNA
Source: RNAcentral